AUAUAUCAACCUCUUCAGCUUUUUGCAUGUUGAGUGUUGGAUGUGGGGGUAUUUUUUUGCUGGACUCUUGAAUCUGAGGUCAGCUCCCCUAAAAUGCAUCAGCGAAACAAUUUGUUUACCGCUCAUUGGCGUGAUAACUAUCUACGCUAUUGACGGUGAAGCAUGUUUAGCUCCUAACAGUCCAUUAACUUGGACAAACCUCUUAUUAAUGUGACCUCAAAUCAGGUAGGACUACCCGCUGAACUUAAGCAUAUCAAUAAGCGGAGGAAAAGAAACUAACAAGGAUUCCCCUAGUAACUGCGAGUGAAGCGGGAAAAGCUCAAAUUUAAAAUCUGGCGGUCUAUGGCUGUCCGAG
This 355-nucleotide ribosomal RNA is filed under the name uncultured ectomycorrhiza (Basidiomycota). Its description in RNAcentral is "eukaryotic LSU rRNA". The stretch from base 212 to 355 matches the Rfam family "Eukaryotic large subunit ribosomal RNA", at positions 1 to 142 of the family's 3401-position model. The record is from RNAcentral. Lineage: Eukaryota; Fungi; Basidiomycota.